CCCUUAGAUGUUCUGGGCUGCACCCGUGCUACACUGGCAGGUUCAGCGAGCUUCAUGCCCUGAUCUGAAAGGAAUGGGAAAUCUUUUCAAAACCUGCCGUGCUUGGGAUAGAUGUUUGCAAUUAUUCAUCUUCAACGAGGAUUGCCUUGUAAGCGCACGUCAUCAGCGUGCAUUGAAUACGACCCUGUAUUCUGUACACACCGCCCGUCGCUCCUACCGAUUGAAGUUUUCGGUGAGUUGACAGGAGGAUUUUUUUGAAACUGGUUCGCCAGUGGAUUUUAGAUCCAAAUGCCGACGAAUCGAUGGCUUUAGAGGAAGGAGAAGUCGUAACA
This 332-nucleotide ribosomal RNA is filed under the name uncultured eukaryote. RNAcentral's name for it is "partial 18S ribosomal RNA". It matches the Rfam family "Eukaryotic small subunit ribosomal RNA", at positions 1470 to 1796 of the family's 1831-position model. The record is from RNAcentral.